RNAcentral lists this microRNA precursor (82 nucleotides) under Trichobilharzia regenti. RNAcentral describes it as "mir-3492 microRNA precursor family". It matches the Rfam family "mir-3492 microRNA precursor family". Lineage: Eukaryota; Metazoa; Platyhelminthes; Trematoda; Strigeidida; Schistosomatidae. The record is from Rfam by way of RNAcentral.
AGCCCUCUGUAUCCGUGCUGAGAUUUCGUCAAAGAUCAACCCGUUGGCACUGGAUGAUGAUACUUCCCAAAUAAGUGAAGCG